AAUUCCAGUCUCCGAGAACAAUACCCAGCCUUAUACACCAUUGCUCGCGAUAAAAAUAAUACUAUUGCGCACGUGCUCAGUUCGUCUCCACCGAAUAUUUCGUUCAGGCGGGACUUGAUUGGCCCCCGACUUAUGUCAUGGCAUAAUCUUUUAUCCCGACUGGAUUCGAUUGACCUGACACAAGGCAGGGAUGUUUUUCGCUGGAACCUUACUACAUCGGGGUCUUUCACAGUAAACUCUAUAUAUCGUGAGCUAAUGCAUUCUGAGGUACCAGUGAGUAAUAACAAGAAAAUUUGGAAGUCGAAGAUUCCACUAAAAGUUAAAAUCUUCAUGUGGUACCUUCGUAGGGGAGUUGUGCUAACCAAAGACAACCAUGCACGAUGCAACUGGCCAGGAAGUAAGCAGUGUUGCUUUUAUGCUCAUGAAGAGACAAUCAAGCACCUCUUUUUCCAAUGCAAGUUUGCACGUUCUACAUGGUCAGUCAUUCAAAUAGCAUCAAAUUUGUAUCCGCCCACAAGUGUUGCCAAUAUAUUUGGUCAUUGGUUGGACGGUAUUUCAAAUAAGUUCAAAACGCUAAUAAGGGUGGGAGCGUAUGCCUUAUUUUGGUUGCUUUGGCUAUGUAGAAAUGAUUUCAUUUUUAAGGACAAAAAUGCUUCUCCUCUAUAG
This 666-nucleotide ribosomal RNA is filed under the name Triticum aestivum (bread wheat). Its description in RNAcentral is "partial small subunit ribosomal RNA". The record is from RNAcentral. Lineage: Eukaryota; Viridiplantae; Streptophyta; Magnoliopsida; Poales; Poaceae.